CAAAAUGCGAUAAGUAAUGUGAAUUGCAGAAUUCAGUGAAUCAUCGAAUCUUUGAACGCACAUUGCGCCCGCCAGUAUUCUGGCGGGCAUGCCUGUUCGAGCGUCAUUUCAACCCUCAAGCCCCCCGGGUUUGGUGUUGGGGAUCGGGCUGCGGUUCUGCCGCGUCCCGGCCCCGAAAUCUAGUGGCGGUCUCGCUGCAGCCUCCAUUGCGUAGUAGCUAACACCUCGCAACUGGAACGCGGCGCGGCCAAGCCGUUAAACCCCCCAACUUCUGAAUGUUGACCUCGGAUCAGGUAGGAAUACCCGCUGAACUUAAGC
This 318-nucleotide unclassified non-coding RNA is filed under the name plant metagenome. Its description in RNAcentral is "partial contains 5.8S ribosomal RNA, internal transcribed spacer 2, and large subunit ribosomal RNA". The stretch from base 1 to 106 matches the Rfam family "5.8S ribosomal RNA", at positions 49 to 154 of the family's 154-position model. The record is from RNAcentral.